AGUAUCUGUAGUAAAUUAAUAAUAUGAGUUUUGUAGUCUUAAGUUCCACUAAUGUGUGGCAGUUACUA
Molecule: transfer RNA, 68 nt
Filed under: Perumytilus purpuratus
Lineage: Eukaryota; Metazoa; Mollusca; Bivalvia; Mytilida; Mytilidae
Description: tRNA-Thr
Source: RNAcentral